GAUGAACGCUGGCGGCGUGCCUAAUACAUGCAAGUCGAACGCAUUGUGGUUGAAAUGAUAUGAAGAACUUGUUCAGAUUUGAUUUUCAACAUUGCAAUGAGUGGCGAACGGGUGAGUAACACGUGGGAAACCUACCUCUUAGCAGGGGAUAACAUUUGGAAACAAAUGCUAAUACCGUAUAAUAAUUAAAACCGCAUGGUUUUAGUUUAAAAGAUGGUCUUGCUAUCACUAAGAGAUGGUCCCGCGGUGUAUUAGUUAGUUGGUGAGGUAAUGGCUCACCAAGACAAUGAUACAUAGCCGAGUUGAGAGACUGACCGGCCACAAUGGGACUGAGACACGGCCCAUACUCCUACGGGAGGCAGCAGUAGGGAAUCUUCCACAAUGGACGAAAGUCUGAUGGAGCAACGCCGCGUGUGUGAUGAAGGGUUUCGGCUCGUAAAACACUGUUGUAAGAGAAGAAUGACAUUGAGAGUAACUGUUCAAUGUGUGACGGUAUCUUACCAGAAAGGAACGGCUAAAUACGUGCCAGCAGCCGCGGUAAUACGUAUGUUCCAAGCGUUAUCCGGAUUUAUUGGGCGUAAAGCGAGCGCAGACGGUUAUUUAAGUCUGAAGUGAAAGCCCUCGGCUCAACCGAGGAAUUGCUUUGGAAACUGGAUAACUUGAGUGCAGUAGAGGAAAGUGGAACUACAUGUGUAGCCGGUGAAAUGCGUAGAUAUAUGGAAGAACACCAGUGGCGAAGGCGGCUUUCUGGACUGUAACUGACGUUGAGGCUCGAAAGUGUGGGGUAGCAAACAGGAUUAAAUACCCUGGGUAGUCCCCACUGUAAA
Molecule: ribosomal RNA, 827 nt
Filed under: uncultured Weissella sp.
Lineage: Bacteria; Bacillati; Bacillota; Bacilli; Lactobacillales; Lactobacillaceae
Description: bacterial SSU rRNA
Rfam family: Bacterial small subunit ribosomal RNA
Source: RNAcentral